This 691-nucleotide ribosomal RNA is filed under the name Brevibacillus laterosporus. Its description in RNAcentral is "bacterial LSU rRNA". It matches the Rfam family "Bacterial large subunit ribosomal RNA", at positions 2236 to 2925 of the family's 2925-position model. The record is from RNAcentral. Lineage: Bacteria; Bacillati; Bacillota; Bacilli; Caryophanales; Paenibacillaceae.
UUAUCGGGUGGAAGGACCAUGCCAGGUGGGCAGUUUGACUGGGGCGGUCGCCUCCUAAAGAGUAACGGAGGCGCCCAAAGGUUCCCUCAGAAUGGUCGGAAAUCAUUCGUAGAGUGUAAAGGCACAAGGGAGCUUGACUGCGAGACCUACAAGUCGAGCAGGGACGAAAGUCGGGCUUAGUGAUCCGGUGGUUCCGCAUGGAAGGGCCAUCGCUCAACGGAUAAAAGCUACCCUGGGGAUAACAGGCUUAUCUCCCCCAAGAGUCCACAUCGACGGGGAGGUUUGGCACCUCGAUGUCGGCUCAUCGCAUCCUGGGGCUGAAGUAGGUCCCAAGGGUUGGGCUGUUCGCCCAUUAAAGCGGUACGCGAGCUGGGUUCAGAACGUCGUGAGACAGUUCGGUCCCUAUCUGUCGCGGGCGUAGGAAGUUUGAGGAGAGCUGUCCUUAGUACGAGAGGACCGGGAUGGACGCACCUCUGGUGCACCAGUUGUCACGCCAGUGGCACAGCUGGGUAGCUAUGUGCGGACGGGAUAAGCGCUGAAAGCAUCUAAGCGUGAAGCCCCCUUCAAGAUGAGACUUCCCAUAGCGCAAGCUAGUAAGACCCCUUAUAGACGAUGAGGUUGAUAGGUUCGGUGUGGAAGUGCAGUAAUGCAUGGAGCUGACGAAUACUAAUCGGUCGAGGACUUAUCCACA